This 253-nucleotide ribosomal RNA is filed under the name uncultured bacterium. RNAcentral's name for it is "partial 16S ribosomal RNA". It matches the Rfam family "Bacterial small subunit ribosomal RNA", at positions 524 to 776 of the family's 1533-position model. The record is from RNAcentral.
UACAGAGGUCUCAAGCGUUGUUCGGAUUCAUUGGGCGUAAAGGGUGCGUAGGCGGCGCGGUAAGUCGGGUGUGAAAUCUCGGAGCUUAACUCCGAAACUGCAUUCGAUACUACCGUGCUUGAGGACUGGAGAGGAGACUGGAAUUUACGGUGUAGCGGUGAAAUGCGUAGAUAUCGUAAGGAAGACCAGUGGCGAAGGCGGGUCUCUGGACAGUUCCUGACGCUGAGACGCGAAAGCUAGGGGAGCGAACAGG